GGGAGAGAGUGCUAUUUAUAAUCCAGCGGAGUUCACCCUCAGAACACGGCCAUUUUUUUCCAGGCCACCUGCCAGAACCCACAUUCUCCAGGCUCCAUAUAUGGGCCUCCCCACAGGCCCCUGUGGGCACAGCCUCACCUCUGAGGGGACCAAGGCAGCCAGGCGACUCAGGAAGGGGUGUUACUUUGUCCGUGAGGAAACUGGGGAGCAGAGAGGUUAAGCCGUGUGUCUACCCCCGAGUCUAUCCGGCUCCUGACCCCCAGUCGCUCCACUCAUCCAGAACACAGUAGACCUGCAGAAAAUCUUCACUCACGUGGCAGUCCUUCGGCUGAGGCACCCUUUACUUGCCAGCUCUUUUCAGCCUGGGAUGGAUUCCUGAUUCUCUUUUGACUCCGUGGCCUCCGAAACCAGCCCCGAGGGGCCACGAUCCUGUAUCUGCGGCGGUCCCAGGCAUCCCUACCGUUCCUCCUUCGCCUGUGACCAAUAUGGGACUAGCACUUCAGCAGAGGAAAAGCAGCAGCAGGAGUUGAUCAAUUCCUAAGCAACGAAGAUCCUGUUUUCAUGCAAACGUCCUCGGCAUUAAAACAAAAACAAAUUCUUCCCAGGGUGCGUCCUGGAUGCCAAGUCUUCUUGCAAGACACAUUCUGAAGCAAGGUUUUGCGCCUGUACUAGAGACCGAGGGGGGCUGGGAGGAGAGCUGCGUGCCAAGUGUCGUCUUGAUAUGCUCUCAUUUUAAACUCACAGCCACCCCACGAGCUAGCCCCAGUCGGAUCUCGGCUUGACAGAUAAGGAAACAGGCAGAGAGAAAUGAGGGAACGGGUCCAGUGUCUAUAGCUGGCGAUGGCAGCCAGGGCACAUGACCAGAUCUGAUUGAAGCUGUAUUGUUUUGGACAUAGACACAGGUAUCCACUGCGACUGUAUUCACCUUACAAAGACGAGGGGAUGACCAUGAAUGUUUCAGAUGACUACAGACAAAAUCUUUUUUCCCCUUAGUGUACUUUUCCCAUCACUUAAAUAAAAAGUGUGCUUUUCCCCUCAAAUAAAAAGAAAGAAGGAU
Lagenorhynchus albirostris (white-beaked dolphin) is the source of this 1057-nucleotide long non-coding RNA. RefSeq lists it as uncharacterized. The record is from RefSeq and is a predicted model, not a curated record. Lineage: Eukaryota; Metazoa; Chordata; Mammalia; Artiodactyla; Delphinidae. The transcript has 3 exons.